GAUGAAGAACGUAGCCAAAUGCGAUAAGUAAUGUGAAUUGCAGAAUUCAGUGAAUCAUCGAAUCUUUGAACGCACAUUGCGCCCCUUGGUAUUCCGAGGGGCAUGCCUGUUCGAGCGUCAUUACAACCCCUCAAGCUCAGCUUGGUGUUGGGGCCUGCUGCACUGGCAGCCCUUAAAAUCAGUGGCGGCGCCAUCUGGCUCUAAGCGUAGUAAUUCUUCUCGCUAUGGAGUCCUGGUGGAUGCUUGCCAUCAACCCCCAAUUUUUCUAUGGUUGACCUCGGAUCAGGUAGGGAUACCCGCUGAACUUAAGCAUAUCAAUAAGCGGAGGA
Molecule: unclassified non-coding RNA, 329 nt
Filed under: soil metagenome
Description: partial contains 5.8S ribosomal RNA, internal transcribed spacer 2, and large subunit ribosomal RNA
Rfam family: 5.8S ribosomal RNA (bases 1-120)
Source: RNAcentral